RNAcentral lists this ribosomal RNA (258 nucleotides) under uncultured prokaryote. RNAcentral's name for it is "partial 16S ribosomal RNA". It matches the Rfam family "Bacterial small subunit ribosomal RNA", at positions 524 to 782 of the family's 1533-position model. The record is from RNAcentral.
UACGUAGGGGGCGAGCGUUGUCCGGAAUUACUGGGCGUAAAGGGCGCGCAGGCUGUAGAUCAAGUCAGCUGUGAAAUGUCUGGGCUUAACCCGGGCAUGCGGUUGAAACUGAUGUACUGGAGUGCUGUAGAGGCAAGUGGAAUUCCCAGUGUAGCGGUGAAAUGCGUAGAUAUUGGGAAGAACACCGGUGGCGAAGGCGACUUGCUGGGCAGCAACUGACGCUGAGGCGCGAAAGCCAGGGGAGCAAACGGGAUUAGA